GUAGUCCAUGCCGUAAACGUUGGGCGCUAGGUGUGGGGCUCUUUCCACGAGUUCCGUGCCGCAGCUAACGCAUUAAGCGCCCCGCCUGGGGAGUACGGCCGCAAGGCUAAAACUCAAAGGAAUUGACGGGGCCCGCACAAGCGGCGGAGCAUGCGGAUUAAUUCGAUGCAACGCGAAGAACCUUACCAAGGCUUGACAUACGCAGAAAACCGGCAGAGAUGUCGGGUCCGCAAGGGCUGCGUACAGGUGGUGCAUGGUUGUCGUCAGCUCGUGUCGUGAGAUGUUGGGUUAAG
Molecule: ribosomal RNA, 293 nt
Filed under: uncultured bacterium
Lineage: Bacteria
Description: partial 16S ribosomal RNA
Rfam family: Bacterial small subunit ribosomal RNA
Source: RNAcentral